This 324-nucleotide long non-coding RNA is filed under the name Pongo abelii (Sumatran orangutan). RNAcentral's name for it is "lincRNA". The record is from RNAcentral. Lineage: Eukaryota; Metazoa; Chordata; Mammalia; Primates; Hominidae.
CUUCACCUGAGGAAUAAAGUAUAAGAUCUUCAGAACUUUUAUUCAGGGGAGAAAGGCCCAGGUAGCUGCUGCUGUUCAGCUUAAGGCUAAUCUGACCUUCUAUAACAGGAGUUCAAGUCCCAGAAAUCCCUGGUCCUCCAUCUGAGGGAGAUGGGGGCAGUAACCUGCAUGGAGCUGUCACCUCCUAUGAUAACAACAUCUGGAAUACCUCCUGAAGGACAUGCCUGAGGCUGUUUUACAGUUAACUUUUUAAAAAAUACAUAAGUAGAAAGAGUACACUCUAAAAUAAAAUAAAAGGUAUAGUAUAAUAAAUACAAUAACAAA